UACAGAGGUCUCAAGCGUUGUUCGGAUUCAUUGGGCGUAAAGGGUGCGUAGGUGGCGCCGUAAGUCAGGUGUGAAAUUUCGGAGCUUAACUCCGAAACUGCAUUUGAUACUGCGGUGCUUGAUGACUGGAGAGGAGACUGGAAUUUACGGUGUAGCAGUGAAAUGCGUAGAGAUCGUAAGGAAGACCAGUGGCGAAGGCGGGUCUCUGGACAGUUCCUGACGCUGAGGCACGAAGGUCAGGGGAGCAAACGGG
Molecule: ribosomal RNA, 253 nt
Filed under: uncultured bacterium
Lineage: Bacteria
Description: partial 16S ribosomal RNA
Rfam family: Bacterial small subunit ribosomal RNA
Source: RNAcentral